GGUGUUGGUAAUUCAAGCAAGACUGGUGGUAGUGAUGCUGCUGCUGUUACAGAACAUAGGGCCCAAAUGGUAUGCUACAGAUGCGAAAUCGCUGGCCAUGCCGUUAAAGGUUGCACUACUUCUCUAUGGUGUGUUAACUGCGGAAAAAAGGAUGCUCAUCUGUCCAAGAAAUGUGCCCUCCUGUAUCAGCCCAAACCUGUGGCGUGUCUGAUUGGUAGCGCUGCUGAUGGACUUCAAAUGUUCUCUACUAGGUCUGGGGAAAAACCUGACCAGGAUUAAGCUAAACAGGUUAUUGCUAUUGUCUCUGUAAAAGGUGAAUCACUUACUGCCUUGCAACUAGUCAAUUCUUUCAGCAUGAUGUUCCAGUGGGUAUGGGAAUGGCAAGCAAAGCCAUAUCUUAAGGACAACUUCCUAGUGAAAUUUCCAUCAAUGCAAAAAAUCGAUGAAAUGAAGGGAUACCACUACUUUGGACUGAUUGGUACUAAAGCAACAAUCAAACUUGAUAGGUGGACUAAUUCAUCAAUUGCAUCUUACAAGCUAUAUGUCUGCUGGGUUAGAAUUGAUGGAGUGCCUGAACCACUUGAACACUAUCAAGGCUUCUAUGAGGCUGGUUCUCUGAUAGGGAAUGUUCUAGAACUGGACAGGGAGUUGUAUAGACAGUGUGGGGUGGUGAGAGCAAAAAUUGGAGUUAUGGAUCCCAGGAAAAUUCCAGCUAGUGCUCCCCUGAAUGAAAGUGGUUUGGUAUAUAAAAUUUUCUUUGAGCUAGAGGAUAUUGUGGAGGAGGGAGGCCCGUUGGAGGGGGGUGUUUUG
Molecule: ribosomal RNA, 810 nt
Filed under: Triticum aestivum (bread wheat)
Lineage: Eukaryota; Viridiplantae; Streptophyta; Magnoliopsida; Poales; Poaceae
Description: partial small subunit ribosomal RNA
Source: RNAcentral